Long non-coding RNA from Drosophila pseudoobscura, 946 nucleotides. RefSeq lists it as uncharacterized. The record is from RefSeq and is a predicted model, not a curated record. NCBI's taxonomy places the organism in Eukaryota, Metazoa, Arthropoda, Insecta, Diptera, Drosophilidae. The transcript has 3 exons.
CAAAGAAAUUUUUAAAAAUAAUCAUUUCAUACUAUCGUCAAGUCUCUGUCGUCUAUUUUUCUGUCGUUCGCCAUAAUUUUGUUGCUAUCGUCGUCAGUAAAUACAAAAAUCAGCUGUUCUCAUUACGCAAUAGCGCGCGUCUGCUAAAUUACGCAAUUUCCGCUUAUUCGGAUAUCGGUAGUGAUAUUGGCCACCGCGAGGCACUGCUAUUAAGCCGAUAGUUGUUGGCAGUCCGAUUGCGCAGCGAUUGCGUAUUUGAAGAGAUUGGCAGCGCUACGACAGAAAAAAAAGCGUGAGAAAAGAAAAACUUUUCAGGGAGCAUCGAAAUCCGUCUGCGCAGGACAGCUUUAAGUGGAGACUACGAUAAAUUGGACUCAGGUCUUAGCUCGGCACAAUGGGAAGCAUUGCAAAUGCAAAAAUCGUGGGCUACAUCUGCCGCCUGUGCGUUCAGGCUCACAGCACCGUGAUCCACUUGUACAGCGAUAGAGCCGCCGCACUGCAACUGGUUGAGAAAAUCCAAUUCCAUUUGGACCUGGACAUUUCACCGGAUGAUAUUCGCCCCAAAGUGAUCUGCCUAGCUUGCUUUGAUCGUAUCGAGGAAACCCAUCGUCUCUGGCAGGCCGAGGGUCCUGCCAAAGAUACAGAAGGUACAGAAGAUACAAAAAAGGACGGCGACGAUUCCUCCGAUGCGGCCCCGAUGGCCCCAAACGUGUCUAAUGACUAGAGCGAUGACCAUCUGUUCGAUCUGUGCUUGCAUCUACAUCUACAAGACUACAUUUAACUUCACACUUAACCUGAAAUCGAUCUCAAUCUACUCAAUACACCAAUACUCCAGCGGAUCACUGUAAAGACGUACCAGCCUAAAGCUCAACAGCCAAUGUGAUUGUUUAUGAAACCAAUUAAUUUGUAAAGCCUUUAAAUAAUAAAAAGUGCUAAAAAAUACCUA